Molecule: non-coding RNA, 573 nt
Filed under: Rattus norvegicus (Norway rat)
Lineage: Eukaryota; Metazoa; Chordata; Mammalia; Rodentia; Muridae
Description: Eukaryotic large subunit ribosomal RNA
Rfam family: Eukaryotic large subunit ribosomal RNA
Source: Rfam by way of RNAcentral
UUCCCUCCGAAAUUUCCCUCAGGAUAGCUAGUGCUCUCACAGAGAUGUUGGAAAACCCACAGCUUUAUCUGGUAAGGCGAAUGAUCAGAAAGGUCUUGGAGCGGAAACGAUCUCAAUCUAGUCUCAAAGUUUAAAUGGAUAAGAAGCCGGCUCACUGGUGUGGAAGCUGGAGUGGAAUGUUAGAACCCAGUGGUCCUUUUGGUAAGCAGAAAUGGUGUUGCAGGAUGAACCGAACCUGUUAAGCCCCACCCCACCCCCACCCCCACGCUGACAUUCAUCAGACUCCAGAAAAGAUGUUGGUUGAUAUAAACAGCAGGACAUGGCCAUGGAAGUUGGGAUCCGCUAAGGAGUUUGUAACUAUUCACCUGCCGAAUCAUCUAACCCUGAAAAUGGAUGGCUCUGGAGCUUCUGGCCCGCACCUGGCUGUCGUGUGCAGUCAAACAGUUCCGGAGCAGCCUCGAGCGCUAGCUCACUGCUUCCGGGCCCCACAGAAGCUAUGCUGCAAUGAGUAGGCGGGCCUGUGCAGUGAGCAUUGGAGUCUAGGACGCAGGCCCAGGUGGAGCCACUGCAGAU